This 447-nucleotide ribosomal RNA is filed under the name uncultured bacterium. Its description in RNAcentral is "partial 16S ribosomal RNA". It matches the Rfam family "Bacterial small subunit ribosomal RNA", at positions 29 to 523 of the family's 1533-position model. The record is from RNAcentral.
AACGAACGCUGGCGGCAGGCUUAACACAUGCAAGUCGAACGCCACACAAGGGGAGUGGCAGACGGGUGAGUAACGCGUGGGAACGUACCUUUCAGUUCGGAAUAACUCAGGGAAACUUGUGCUAAUACCGGAUACGUCCGUAAGGAGAAAGAUUUAUCGCUGAAAGAUCGGCCCGCGUUGGAUUAGCUAGUUGGUGGGGUAAUGGCCUACCAAGGCGACGAUCCAUAGCUGGUCUGAGAGGAUGAUCAGCCACACUGGGACUGAGACACGGCCCAGACUCCUACGGGAGGCAGCAGUGGGGAAUAUUGGACAAUGGGCGAAAGCCUGAUCCAGCCAUGCCGCGUGAGUGAUGAAGGCCUUAGGGUUGUAAAGCUCUUUCACCGAUGAAGAUAAUGACGGUAGUCGGAGAAGAAGCCCCGGCUAACUUCGUGCCAGCCGCCGCCGUAA